This 117-nucleotide small RNA is filed under the name Marmota monax (woodchuck). Lineage: Eukaryota; Metazoa; Chordata; Mammalia; Rodentia; Sciuridae. The record is from RNAcentral.
GUCAGGUGUAGUGGUAUACACCUGUAGUCCCAGUUACUUGAGAGGCUGAAAUGGGAAAAUUGCUUGAACCCAGGAGUUCAAGGUCAGCCUAGACAACAUAGUGAGACCCUAUCUUAA